This 449-nucleotide ribosomal RNA is filed under the name uncultured bacterium. RNAcentral describes it as "bacterial SSU rRNA". It matches the Rfam family "Bacterial small subunit ribosomal RNA", at positions 32 to 461 of the family's 1533-position model. The record is from RNAcentral.
AAUCAACGCUGGCGGCGUGCCUCAGACAUGCAAGUCGAACGCGAAAGUUUCCUUCGGGGGAUGAGUAGAGUGGCGCACGGGUGAGUAACACGUAGGUAAUCUACCUUUAGAUGGGGAAUAACAAUCGGAAACGGUUGCUAAUACCGCAUAAUGCAGCGGCACCUAAUGGUGACAGUUGUUAAAGCGGGGGAUCGAAAGACCUUCGCGUCUGAAGAGGAGCCUGCGGCGGAUUAGCUAGUUGGUAAGGUAACGGCUUACCAAGGCGACGAUCCGUAGCGGCCUGAGAGGGCGGUCGGCCACACUGACACUGACAUACGGGUCAGGCUCCUACGGAGGCAGCAGUCGGGAAUUUUGGGCAAUGGGCGAAAGCCUGACCCAGCAACGCCGCGUGAAGGAUGAAAUCCCUCGGGAUGUAAACUUCGCAAGAACGGGAAGAAUAGGUAGGGGAC